Molecule: long non-coding RNA, 1757 nt
Organism: Syngnathus typhle (broad-nosed pipefish)
Lineage: Eukaryota; Metazoa; Chordata; Actinopteri; Syngnathiformes; Syngnathidae
Exons: 4
Source: RefSeq, a predicted model, not a curated record
UAAAGUGUGUGGCUAUCGGCUUGCGGUCACACACGCACACGCAUCAGAUAAAUAAAGGAGCAGCAUUAACGGUGACACGCUAUCACGGAGCAGAUUUGCAGCAGCUCCCAAAUUGCAGGUCAUAACGAAUGCCAUUAAGAACGCAUUUCUGUCUGCUAAUUUAAUGCAAUAAAACGUGCACAGUUGCUCCAAUUGGUGGGAAGUGCACCUCGACGUCGUCACAUCAGUGUUUUAUGGAUUGUAUGUUCGUUCAGACGGCGCCAAGGGUUAGUCACGACGUCUGCCGCACGGAUGAGGCUUAGUGCAGUCACGACACGGCACGGCACGGCACGGAACGACACGACACGACACGACACGACACGACACGACACGACACGACACGACACGACACGACACGACACGACACGACACGACACGGCACGGCACGGCACGGCACGACACGACACGGCAGCCCUCUUGCAUCCAUCCAUCCAUCCAUCCAUCCAUCCAUCCAUCCAUCCAUCCAUCCAUCCAUCCAGUCACGAGCGUCAUCCUGCAAUGCUGCACGUUCGAACGUAAGGAGCACCAAUCGUCUCAUUAGUCUCUUUCCCAACCUUGAUUGAACCUGCAGGACACGUUUCAUUUGAAAACCUUGCACGGGUGCCUUUUACUUUCCAACUUCCUCGUGGGCGGAAGUUUUGAAGAAUGGCUUUUUGGGCUAAGAUUCAUUCCCAGACGACCAACACAACCAUUUAGACAUCGCUCAAACGAAGUGAGGCUGCUGUCUGUUGCCCUCAUUCAGCGUGGGCUACGUCGAGCCGGCAUGAUCCUUAGAGAAGCCACGCUUUCCCGUGUCAUGAGCCGGGUCACCUGGUCCAGACUGAGUCCUGCCACCGCUUCCCCAUUCACCUGAAUAAUCUCAUCAGCCACGCCCAGGAGACCCACGUAAGGAACGUCGCCAGUUCCGUCGCCCACUUUCUCCACAUAAACGCCUGCAAGAACACAAUGAGAACUUUGCAGGCUUGCCCAUCCCCCAUCUGUACAUUGCACGCCAUACCUGUGUCAGGUCUGCCUUUGCCCCUUGAGAUGACAAAACCAAAAGGACCAUUUGGGGGUCGGAUAAGCUCGAGGAGAAGAGACCCGUCCGGAAAGGCCUGAGAAACCCUCCCCGCUGGUCGCAGCACCCUGGAUGGUAUGACGUCUUCACCGCUCAGGCUCCGGUGGGCUUCCAGAAGAGGACUGUCAGGACUUUGGCAGAACAAGUACUUCUUUCACUGAGCACCAAGCGAGGUCCGCUUCACGCCACGUGCCUCGCUUCGGGGAAUGGACUUACCUUGGCGCUAGGCCAUAAGCCAGGUAGAGAGAGUAGCACCAAACCGUGUGCAGGCUCUGCAGAGAGGGCGUCCUCUGUAUCCCAACGCUGGGAUGCCGCCUGCGCGUGGGGCUCGGCGAACUCGCGUUGGACCUGCUGGCGGCGGGAACGCUGAGCUGUUCCAUGCUACUGGAACGGCUUCCCUUCACAAGUCUGCCCACGCUGUUCAGGCCGAUGGAGGAAAAGAAGCGACGCAAGAAAAGCUUGGGUCGACCGUCCGGCUUCCUGGAAAGAAAGGAAGAAAGAAAGAAAGAAAAAGAAAAAGCACAGCGGCGUCCCAGACGUCGGCAGCCGGCACGUCCGGGUUGAGACGAGCAGGGGAGUACCUCAGCGUGGAGGGCCGGAUGCACGCCGCCGGGUCGCUGCUCACCAUCGCGAGGGACGAGGCAGGCGACUCCCUCCGGAC